Molecule: long non-coding RNA, 345 nt
Filed under: Daucus carota (carrot)
Lineage: Eukaryota; Viridiplantae; Streptophyta; Magnoliopsida; Apiales; Apiaceae
Description: long non-coding RNA (DCAR_LNC003372)
Source: RNAcentral
AAGAGCAGUUGAAAGUAACCAAAACUUUCAACUGAUGAAGCAAAGAGCAGUUGAAAGUGACUAGAGCUUAAGUCUGACAAAUCACAUGGAUCGAAUUACACUAAAAUAGACAUGGAAGCCUAAUUAGGAAAAUAAAGAAGAAGCAGAAACAUACUUAUCUCAUGCAGUGCAAUCUGGAUCAAAUCAAGAUGAUGGUCAAAGAUGAAGACAUCUCAGAAAGCAUGCAUAAGACAAAGUUGUGCAGCAUUGUUUUUAGAUUAGAGUGCAUUUUGUAAUCUAGCUAAAAGCUUUGUAAAACUUGGAGUAUAUAACCAAGUUAGUAGCAUCAGUUGAACUUGUUCAAAU